GGGGCUGUAGCUCAGUGGCAGAGUACUUGCCUAGUAUGUAUGAGGCAGUUGGUUCGAUCCUCAGCACCA
This 69-nucleotide transfer RNA is filed under the name Marmota marmota marmota (Alpine marmot). It matches the Rfam family "tRNA". From Rfam's summary of the family: Transfer RNA (tRNA) molecules are approximately 80 nucleotides in length. RNAcentral also lists the same sequence under 1 other name. The record is from Rfam by way of RNAcentral. Lineage: Eukaryota; Metazoa; Chordata; Mammalia; Rodentia; Sciuridae.